UUCCGGUUGAUCCUGCCGGACCUGACUGCUAUCGGAUUGAUACUAAGCCAUGCGAGUCAUUGUAGCAAUACAAGGCAUACGGCUCAGUAACGCGUAGUCAACCUACCCUAUGGACGGAAAUAACCUCGGGAAACUGAGAAUAAUAUCCGAUAGAACAUUAUGCCUGGAAUGGUUUAUGUUCCAAAUGAUUUAUCGCCGUAGGAUGGGACUGCGGCCUAUCAGUUUGUUGGUGAGGUAAUGGCCCACCAAGACUAUUACAGGUACGGGCUCUGAGAGGAGUAGCCCGGAGAUGGGUACUGAGACACGGGCCCAGGCCCUAUGGGGCGCAGCAGGCGAGAAAACUUUGCAAUGUGCGAAAGCACGACAAGGUUAAUCCGAGUGAUUUCUGCUAAAGAAAUCUUUUGUUAGUCCUAGAAACACUAACGAAUAAGGGGUGGGCAAGUUCUGGUGUCAGCCGCCGCGGUAAACCAGCACCUCAAGUGGUCAGGAUGAUUAUUGGGCCUAAAGCAUCCGUAGCCGGCUCUGUAAGUCCUCGGUUAAAUCUGUACGCUUAACGUACAGGCUGCCGGGAAUACUGCAUAGCUAGGGAGUGGGAGAGGUAGACGGUACUCGGUAGGAAGGGGUAAAAUCCUUUGAUCUAUUGAUGACCACCUGUGGCGAAGGCGGUCUACCAGAACACGUCCGACGGUGAGGGAUGAAAGCUGGGGGAGCAAACCGGAUUAGAUACCCGGGUAGUCCCAGCUGUAAACUAUGCAAACUCAGUGAUGCAUUGGCUUGUGGCCAAUGCAGUGCUGCAGGGAAGCCGUUAAGUUUGCCGCCUGGGAAGUACGUACGCAAGUAUGAAACUUAAAGGAAUUGGCGGGGGAGCACCACAA
This 875-nucleotide ribosomal RNA is filed under the name uncultured Nitrososphaerota archaeon. RNAcentral describes it as "bacterial SSU rRNA". It matches the Rfam family "Archaeal small subunit ribosomal RNA", at positions 1 to 884 of the family's 1478-position model. The record is from RNAcentral. Lineage: Archaea; Thermoproteati; Nitrososphaerota.